CUUGCACCUGGUGGCGAGUGGCGAACGGGUGAGUAAUACAUCGGAACGUACCUAAUCGUGGGGGAUAACACAGCGAAAGCUGUGCUAAUACCGCAUACGCCCUGAGGGGGAAAGCGGGGGAUCGAAAGACCUCGCGCGAUUAGAGCGGCCGAUGCCUGAUUAGCUUGUUGGUGGGGUAAAAGCCCACCAAGGCGACGAUCAGUAGCUGGUCUGAGAGGACGAUCAGCCACACUGGGACUGAGACACGGCCCAGACUCCUACGGGAGGCAGCAGUGGGGAAUUUUGGACAAUGGGGGAAACCCUGAUCCAGCAAUGCCGCGUGAGUGAAGAAGGCCUUCGGGUUGUAAAGCUCUUUUGUCAGGGAAGAAACACCGGCUCUAACACAGUCCGGGAAUGACGGUACCUGAAGAAUAAGCACCGGCUAACUACGUGCCAGCAGCCGCAGUAAUACGUAGGGUGCGAGCGUUAAUCGGAAUUACUGGGCGUAAAGCGUGCGCAGGCGGUUAUACAAGACAGGCGUGAAAUCCCCGGGCUUAACCUGGGAAUGGCGCCUGUGACUGUAUAGCUAGAGUGUGUCAGAGGGGGGUAGAAUUCCACGUGUAGCAGUGAAAAGCGUAGAUAUGUGGAGGAAUACCAAUGGCGAAGGCAGCCCCCUGGGAUAACACUGACGCUCAUGCACGAAAGCGUGGGGAGCAAACAG
This 700-nucleotide ribosomal RNA is filed under the name uncultured beta proteobacterium. RNAcentral's name for it is "bacterial SSU rRNA". It matches the Rfam family "Bacterial small subunit ribosomal RNA", at positions 79 to 775 of the family's 1533-position model. The record is from RNAcentral. Lineage: Bacteria; Pseudomonadati; Pseudomonadota; Betaproteobacteria.